RNAcentral lists this ribosomal RNA (515 nucleotides) under Wilsoniana portulacae. RNAcentral describes it as "LSU rRNA". It matches the Rfam family "Eukaryotic large subunit ribosomal RNA", at positions 157 to 608 of the family's 3401-position model. Lineage: Eukaryota; Oomycota; Peronosporomycetes; Albuginales; Albuginaceae. The record is from RNAcentral.
AGCGAUGUCAGAAGCGUCGGCAGGUUCAAGUUCCUUGGAAGAGGACAGCAUGGAGGGUUACACUCCCGUCUGAGCCGAGCUGAUGUGAAGUACGACACGCUCUCUUCGAGUCGCGUUGUUUGGGAUUGCAGCGCAAAGCAGGUGGUAAACUCCAUCGAAAGCUAAAUACCGGUAGAGACCGAUAGCGAACAAGUACCGUGAGGGAAAGAUGAAAAGAACUUUGAAAAGAGAGUUAAAAGUACCUGAAACUGCUGAAAGGGAAGCGAAUCGCGUCUACUGUCCCUUCGCGUGCAUCGCGUACUGUGGCUUUCGGGCGACAGUAGGUUGUGUCGCGGUGGAGUCAGAGUCAGUUCCGAGUCCGCGGUCUGAGUCGGGCGAUAAAGGUAGGAAUCCCGUGUAGCGGGACCCGCAUGACUCUCCCAAGUCGGGCUGUGGUUGGGACUGAGGUGUCUACAACAUGCAAAUCAAGUGCGUUGCGCGAGCUCUCGCGCAAUCGGAGGAAAGUUCGCUGGAAU